GCGGGCAUGGUCUAGUGGUGAUGACGUCUGCCUUACACGCAGAAGGUCCCGAGUUCGAUCCUCGGUGCUCGUA
Babesia microti strain RI is the source of this 73-nucleotide transfer RNA. It matches the Rfam family "tRNA". From Rfam's summary of the family: Transfer RNA (tRNA) molecules are approximately 80 nucleotides in length. Their secondary structure includes four short double-helical elements and three loops (D, anti-codon, and T loops). Further hydrogen bonds mediate the characteristic L-shaped molecular structure. tRNAs have two regions of fundamental functional importance: the anti-codon, which is responsible for specific mRNA codon recognition, and the 3' end, to which the tRNAs corresponding amino acid is attached (by aminoacyl-tRNA synthetases). tRNAs cope with the degeneracy of the genetic code in two manners: having more than one tRNA (with a specific anti-codon) for a particular amino acid; and 'wobble' base-pairing, i.e. permitting non-standard base-pairing at the 3rd anti-codon position. NCBI's taxonomy places the organism in Eukaryota, Apicomplexa, Aconoidasida, Piroplasmida, Babesiidae. The record is from Rfam.